RNAcentral lists this ribosomal RNA (253 nucleotides) under uncultured prokaryote. Its description in RNAcentral is "partial 16S ribosomal RNA". It matches the Rfam family "Bacterial small subunit ribosomal RNA", at positions 525 to 777 of the family's 1533-position model. The record is from RNAcentral.
ACGAAGGGUGCAAGCGUUAAUCGGAAUUACUGGGCGUAAAGCGCGCGUAGGUGGUUCGUUAAGUUGGAUGUGAAAUCCCCGGGCUCAACCUGGGAACUGCAUUUGUGACUGCAUUGCUAGAGUGCGGUAGAGGGGGAUGGAAUUCCGCGUGUAGCAGUGAAAUGCGUAGAUAUGCGGAGGAUCACCGAUGGCGAAGGCAAUCCCCUGGGCCUGCACUGACGCUCAUGCACGAAAGCGUGGGGAGCAAACAGGA